This 253-nucleotide ribosomal RNA is filed under the name uncultured bacterium. Its description in RNAcentral is "partial 16S ribosomal RNA". It matches the Rfam family "Bacterial small subunit ribosomal RNA", at positions 524 to 776 of the family's 1533-position model. The record is from RNAcentral.
UACAGAAGUCUCGAGCGUUAGGCGGAAUCACUGGGCUUAAAGCGUGUGUAGGCGGGUCGUUAAGUACCUUGUGAAAUCCCAUGGCUCAACCAUGGAACUGCUUGGUAUACUGGCGAUCUUGUGCAACCUAGGGGCGAGCGGAACAGAUGGUGGAGCGGUGAAAUGCGUAGAUAUCAUCUGGAACGCCAAUGGUGAAAACAGCUCGCUGGGGGUUUGCAGACGCUGAGACACGAAAGCCAGGGGAGCGAACGGG